GACGAACGCUGGCGGCGUGCUUAACACAUGCAAGUCGAGCGGUAAGGCCCUUUCGGGGGUACACGAGCGGCGAACGGGUGAGUAACACGUGGGUGACCUCCCUUUAGCUCUGGGAUAAGCCUGGGAAACUGGGUCUAAUACCGGAUACGACUCCGCGGUGCAUGCUGUGGGGUGGAAAGCCUUGUGCGGCUGGAGAUGGGCCCGCGGCCUAUCAGCUUGUUGGUGGGGUGAUGGCCUACCAAGGCGACGACGGGUAGCCGGCCUGAGAGGGCGACCGGCCACACUGGGACUGAGACACGGCCCAGACUCCUACGGGAGGCAGC
RNAcentral lists this ribosomal RNA (323 nucleotides) under uncultured bacterium. RNAcentral describes it as "bacterial SSU rRNA". It matches the Rfam family "Bacterial small subunit ribosomal RNA", at positions 28 to 352 of the family's 1533-position model. The record is from RNAcentral.